This 75-nucleotide non-coding RNA is filed under the name Methanocorpusculum bavaricum DSM 4179. RNAcentral's name for it is "S15-Methanomicrobia ribosomal protein leader". It matches the Rfam family "S15-Methanomicrobia ribosomal protein leader". The record is from RNAcentral. Lineage: Archaea; Methanobacteriati; Methanobacteriota; Methanomicrobia; Methanomicrobiales; Methanocorpusculaceae.
AGCACUUAGGUGCUGACUGAAGUAAGUCCGACGUGUCUGUCUACUAAGACACUGCCUUUUUGGCUUUGGGAUUAC